Non-coding RNA from Podarcis lilfordi (Lilford's wall lizard), 69 nucleotides. The record is from the annotation of a GenBank genome assembly. Lineage: Eukaryota; Metazoa; Chordata; Lepidosauria; Squamata; Lacertidae.
ACAGUAGCUCAGUGAUAAAGCAUCUGCUUUGCAUGCAGAAGGUCCCAGGUUCAAUUCUGGGCAUCUCUA